AACAUCGCGCACCUGCGGGAACCUGCGGAGGGAUCAUUACAGAGUUGCAAGACUCCCUAAACCAUUGUGAACGUUACCUAAACCGUUGCUUCGGCGGGCGGCCCGGGUCCUUCCCGGCGCCCCUCGGCCCUCGCGGGCGCCCGCCGGAGGUAAACCAAACUAUUGCAUUGUAUGGCCUCUCUGAGUCUUCUGUACUGAAUAAGUCAAAACUUUCAACAAUGGAUCUCAGAUCGGAAGAGC
RNAcentral lists this unclassified non-coding RNA (240 nucleotides) under soil metagenome. RNAcentral's name for it is "partial contains 5.8S ribosomal RNA, internal transcribed spacer 2, and large subunit ribosomal RNA". The record is from RNAcentral.